Molecule: ribosomal RNA, 253 nt
Filed under: uncultured bacterium
Lineage: Bacteria
Description: partial 16S ribosomal RNA
Rfam family: Bacterial small subunit ribosomal RNA
Source: RNAcentral
UACGAAGGGGGCUAGCGUUGUUCGGAAUUACUGGGCGUAAAGCGCACGUAGGCGGACAUUUAAGUUGGAGGUGAAAGCCUUGGGCUCAACCCAAGAAUUGCCUUUGAUACUGGAUGUCUCGAGACCGGGAGAGGUGAGUGGAAUUCCGAGUGUAGAGGUGAAAUUCGUAGAUAUUCGGAAGAACACCAGUGGCGAAGGCGGCUCACUGGACUGGUAUUGACGCUGAGGUGCGAAAGCGUGGGGAGCAAACAGG